This 93-nucleotide transfer RNA is filed under the name Roseococcus sp. SDR. RNAcentral describes it as "tRNA-OTHER". The record is from RNAcentral. Lineage: Bacteria; Pseudomonadati; Pseudomonadota; Alphaproteobacteria; Acetobacterales; Roseomonadaceae.
AGCGGCGCCAAUGGUUCGGGGAGGUGCUUUGAGCAAUUGCCCACGGCACUCAUGAUGCCGGGGUCAGCGGUUCAAGUCCGCUCGCCGCUACCA